RNAcentral lists this ribosomal RNA (484 nucleotides) under uncultured bacterium. RNAcentral describes it as "partial 16S ribosomal RNA". It matches the Rfam family "Bacterial small subunit ribosomal RNA", at positions 30 to 507 of the family's 1533-position model. The record is from RNAcentral.
AUUGAACGCUGGCGGCAUGCUUUACACAUGCAAGUCGAACGGCCGCGCGGGCUUCGGCCUUGCGUCGAGUUGCGGACGGGCGAGUAAUGAACCGGUACAUGACCAGCCGUUGGGACUAGGCCGACGACGGCAGGCUUAAUACCACAUCCGACCAUAGGGUGAACGGGGGGGAUCAAAAGUGCUAGCGGGUUUUGCUCGGACGAUGUGGUAUUUGCUAGUUGGUGGGGUAAAGGCUUACCAAGGCGACGAUCCGUAGCUGGUCUGAGAGGACGACCAGCCACACUGGGACUGAGACACGGCCCAGACUCCUACGGGAGGCAGCAGUGGGGAAUUUUGGACAAUGGGGGCAACCCUGAUCCAGCCACGCCGCGUGCGUGAAGAAGGUCUUCGGGUUGUAAAACGCUUUUGUUCGGGAAGAAAUCCUCUGGGCUAAUACCCCGGGGUGAUGACGGUACCGGAAGAAUAAGCACCGGCUAACUACGUG